This 831-nucleotide long non-coding RNA is filed under the name Olea europaea subsp. europaea. The record is from RNAcentral. Lineage: Eukaryota; Viridiplantae; Streptophyta; Magnoliopsida; Lamiales; Oleaceae.
GUUCUGAUGAAUAAAUUGAUGAACUUGAAAUAUGAUGGUACAAGUAGUGUUAAGGAGCAUGUCACGAAAAUGAUAAAUAUAUCAUCUAAAUUAAAGGCUCUUAACAUUUUCAUUGCGGAGCCUUUCCUGGUCUAUAAUGUUUUUAAAUAGCCUUCAUAGCUAGGUUAAUCAGCUUAAGGUUGCUUACAAUACUCAGCAGGAUAAAUGAGAUUUGAAUGACUUUAUAGCAAUUUGUGCUCAAGAAAAGUAUAGGAUGCACCAUAAGACCGUUGAAACUGUACAAUUAACUUUUCAGCUAUCACAAAACAAAGGGACAUUCUCAUAACCAUAAGUUUAAGUUUCUAAGGGUAAUAAAUCACACUGAAAUCAGCGGAAUAAAAAUUUUAGUGGUCCUAGAGAUAUUAUGAAGAAAAUUGAUCAAUACAAGUUCUGUAAAAAGAAAGGUCAUUGGCAGAAAAACUGUUUUAAGUUUAAGACUUGGCUGAAAAAGAAGAAGAGUUCUCUAGGAAUUCCCUUGGCCUUAGUUUAUUUUGAGUCUUCUUUAGUAGAUGUGCCUUUGAAUUCUUGGUGAUUAAACUCGGGAGCUAGUAUUCAUAUUGCGAAUUCCUUGUAGAGAUUCACAAGCAAAUAGAGUGAGAAUGAAGUGAGCUUGAGCGUUGCAAAUGGAGUUCAAGUGAAUGUUGAAUUCAUAUGAGUAGUGAAGUUGUCUUUGGAGUCCGAUUUUUCUCUUGUUUUAGAAAAUACUAUUUAUGUACAGCAAAUGAGACGAAAUUUAGUUUCUAUAUCGAAACUUGAUGCUUGUAGUUUUAUAUUUAAUUUUGGUAAUGGAAU